Molecule: ribosomal RNA, 820 nt
Filed under: uncultured bacterium
Lineage: Bacteria
Description: bacterial SSU rRNA
Rfam family: Bacterial small subunit ribosomal RNA
Source: RNAcentral
GGNNACGCUGCGGCGGCUUAAUACAUGCAAGUCGAACGGUAACAGUCCCGGCGACGGGAGCUGACGAGUGGCGCACGGGUGCGUAACACGUAUGCAACCUACCCUGUACUGGGGCAUAACCCUGAGAAAUCGGGGCUAAUACUCCAUGGUAUUAUGUUGAGGCAUCUUGACAUGAUUAAAGAUUUAUUGGUACGGGAUGGGCAUGCGUCCCAUUAGUUAGUUGGUGAGGUAAUUGCUCACCAAGGCGAUGAUGGGUAGGGGUUCUGAGAGGAUUAUCCCCCACACUGGUACUGAGACACGGACCAGACUCCUACGGGAGGCAGCAGUAAGGAAUAUUGGGCAAUGGAGGCAACUCUGACCCAGCCAUGCCGCGUGCAGGAAGACAGCCCUAUGGGUUUUAAACUGCUUUUCUGAGGGACUAACUUCACUUACGAGUAGGUGGUUGCAUGUACCUCAGGAAUAAGCAUCGGCUAACUCCGUGCCAGCAGCCGCGGUAAUACGGAGGAUGCGAGCGUUAUCCGGACUUAUUGGGUUUAAAGGGUGCGUAGGCUGACAAAUAAGUCAGUGGUGAAAUACCCCGGCUCAACCGGGGGGUUGCCAUUGAUACUGUAUGUCUGGAGUGUAAUCGAAGUGGGCGGAAUGAGGGGUGUAGCGGUGAAAUGCAUAGAUAUUCCUCAGAACACCGAUAGCGUANGCAGCUCACUAGCUUACCACUGACGCUGANGCACGAAAGCGUGGGUAUCAAACAGGAUUAGAUACCCUGGUAGUCCACGCUGUAACGAUGAUCACUAGCUGUUUGCGACAUACUGUANGUGGCUAA